This 465-nucleotide ribosomal RNA is filed under the name Vreelandella stevensii. RNAcentral describes it as "partial 16S ribosomal RNA". It matches the Rfam family "Bacterial small subunit ribosomal RNA", at positions 338 to 795 of the family's 1533-position model. Lineage: Bacteria; Pseudomonadati; Pseudomonadota; Gammaproteobacteria; Oceanospirillales; Halomonadaceae. The record is from RNAcentral.
CCUACGGGCGGCAGCAGUGGGGAAUAUUGGACAAUGGGCGAAAGCCUGAUCCAGCCAUGCCGCGUGUGUGAAGAAGGCCUUCGGGUUGUAAAGCACUUUCAGUGGGGAAGAAAGCCUUGGGGCUAAUACCCUCGAGGAAGGACAUCACCCACAGAAGAAGCACCGGCUAACUCCGUGCCAGCAGCCGCGGUAAUACGGAGGGUGCGAGCGUUAAUCGGAAUUACUGGGCGUAAAGCGCGCGUAGGCGGUCUGAUAAGCCGGUUGUGAAAGCCCCGGGCUCAACCUGGGAACGGCAUCCGGAACUGUCAGGCUAGAGGGCAGGAGAGGAAGGUAGAAUUCCCGGUGUAGCGGUGAAAUGCGUAGAGAUCGGGAGGAAUACCAGUGGCGAAGGCGGCCUUCUGGACUGACACUGACGCUGAGGUGCGAAAGCGUGGGUAGCAAACAGGAUUAGAUACCCCUGUAGUC